This 253-nucleotide ribosomal RNA is filed under the name uncultured bacterium. RNAcentral's name for it is "partial 16S ribosomal RNA". It matches the Rfam family "Bacterial small subunit ribosomal RNA", at positions 524 to 776 of the family's 1533-position model. The record is from RNAcentral.
UACGUAGGGCGCAAGCGUUGUCCGGAAUUAUUGGGCGUAAAGAGCUCGUAGGCGGCUUGUCACGUCGAUUGCGAAAGCCCGAGGCUUAACCUCGGGUCUGCAGUCGAUACGGGCUAGCUAGAGUGUGGUAGGGGAGAUCGGAAUUCCUGGUGUAGCGGUGAAAUGCGCAGAUAUCAGGAGGAACACCGGUGGCGAAGGCGGAUCUCUGGGCCAUUACUGACGCUGAGGAGCGAAAGCGUGGGGAGCGAACAGG